Molecule: ribosomal RNA, 119 nt
Organism: Cercocebus atys (sooty mangabey)
Lineage: Eukaryota; Metazoa; Chordata; Mammalia; Primates; Cercopithecidae
Source: Ensembl
UCCUACAGCCAUAGCACCCUGAACACACCAAAUCUCAUUUGAUCUCAGAAGCUAAGCAGGGAUGGGCCUAGUUAGUACUUGGAUGGGAGAAGAGAAUCCUGACUGGGCAGAAGAGAGAU